Non-coding RNA from Heterocephalus glaber (naked mole-rat), 1173 nucleotides. The record is from RefSeq and is a predicted model, not a curated record. NCBI's taxonomy places the organism in Eukaryota, Metazoa, Chordata, Mammalia, Rodentia, Bathyergidae.
UGCAGCACAUAUGGCCAGUGGCCCUGCUGCAUAAGUAUUAGCUAUUCCUUGUCCUUCCCUCGAGCAUGCCUUACAUAAGCACAACCUACUGGUUAGUAAUCACUUCUACCACUAGAGGAGUUUACCAUCACUGAACAUGCUAACCACCAGCACUACCAAAACAUCGGAGUGAGAGGCAUGUCCUAUCCACAGUCUAGUGCUAGAGAUUGAACCCAGGGCCUCACACCUGCUAGGUGCACAUUCCUUCCCCACUGGUAGUGCGGACACUCCAAGGGUCCUAGGUGGAAAAGCAAGGAACCAGGGAAGAUGUCCAGUGGAGGACUGCAGCACAGAAGAACCAUGAAGGUCCUCCUCUUCAUCAGCAAGAGCUCUAGAUCACUUCUCGGCCUUUUGGGUAAGAUCAAGUGUAGCAAGAGCUCUAGAAUAAUUGUCAGCACGGGGCAUUGAUCUGCUGGGGUCCUGAACUACUGAGACCAGGCUUGGGUCAGCCCAGCUGGACUCUGGACAGAAUCCAGAACCAGCACAGGGAGCACAAAGCAGGGAACCAGAGCGAGGCCCCUUCCCCUCAUUCACUCUAUGCCACACUUUGAACACUCCACCUUGUUAAAUCCCACAGGACACUACAAUAAGCAGAACCACUGCUAACAAGACUUGCAUGCCUUCUUAUCCUGUCUGAAAUCACUCUUAACACUAUCAUGUGCAACUACUAUUUUUUGCUAUCUCAUGCGUAAGUUAAUCUUGGUAACAAAACCAAAGGUCUUAUAUCUUCAGUUUCUUUGUUACCUUACCAGAUCCUAGCCCAAAAGAGGACACUUACACAUUCAAUUACUCAUCUUGCCUCAGCCUAUAUAUUGAGCUUAUACCUUCUUCAAAUCCAAGAAAACAUAAAGGCCCUUGCCAGUAACUGUGAAAACUAAUUGCUCCAGUUGUGGGUGACUUUAGAGUCAGACUUCUGUGCUCCAAUUCUGAAUCAAUCACUUUUGUCAUAAACUUCUCCAAGCCUCAGCUUCCUUAGCUGUAAAACUGGGGCAAACCAAUGGGGUUGUUAUAAAAUCUAAAAUAGAUACUAUAUUUCAGAAUUAGCCCUCAAUCAAAUAAGCCUUUAAAAAGAUAAGAAACACAAAGAGCUACCCAUCACAGAUUAUAAAGUGAGUAAGAAAUAAAAUGUUGUAA